UCGGAUAUGGUGUAAAGGCUAACAUUGCCGCCUCUCAUGGAGCUGGAUAUUUCAUGCGCGGCAGCUCGGGGUUUGAUUCCUCGUAUCCGAA
Armillaria borealis is the source of this 91-nucleotide non-coding RNA. The record is from the annotation of a GenBank genome assembly. NCBI's taxonomy places the organism in Eukaryota, Fungi, Basidiomycota, Agaricomycetes, Agaricales, Physalacriaceae.